GUGCUUGCUUUGGCAGCACAUAUACUAAAAUUGGAGUGAUACAGAGAACAUUAGCAUGGCCCUUGCACAAGGAUGACAUGCAAAUUCGUGAAGUGUUUUAUAUUUUU
Small nuclear RNA from Homo sapiens (human), 107 nucleotides. The record is from Ensembl. Lineage: Eukaryota; Metazoa; Chordata; Mammalia; Primates; Hominidae.